UCCUAUGUGGGGUGUGUCCACAGACACAUACGUCUGUACAUCCGUGCGACUGUACUAGACCGUGAAGACCUCCUGCCUCAAACUGAUUUGUGGAAAACUGCCUCACGGACUCAUCCUGAUGUGUGUCCACUGUCUAUGCUGGCUUGGAGAAAACACAGAUGUCUUUUCCAAUCUGCUAUUCUCAGCUGCAGCUCUACCUCUACCUAUCUUGGGAGACAAUUUAAGAAGACUCAGUUGCUGUUCUUUUGGCUGAACGAAUAAAGCUGGACAGAGCAGCCCAGCUAAGGAUGGUGAAUCUGUUGGACGGAGAACUGAUAAGGGCAUGUGGCUGACACUUACAGCAUUGUGUCCUCUGAGAUCUCAGAUACUACAGUGGAACAAUACUUUGAUUUAAUCAUAGGAAAAUGUAUCUAAAUCAGCGGUCCUCAAACUGGGGGCCUUGAGAUGGUGCCAGGAGGGCCCAAGUUUUAUGACAUUUUAUAAAAUACAUUAAUUUAUUAUGAAUUCUGUGUAAUUAAUCCUAAAAAAAUAAGGUCACUAACCUAUAGCACUG
Long non-coding RNA from Paramisgurnus dabryanus, 553 nucleotides. RefSeq lists it as uncharacterized. Lineage: Eukaryota; Metazoa; Chordata; Actinopteri; Cypriniformes; Cobitidae. The record is from RefSeq and is a predicted model, not a curated record.